GCCGGCGCGGUGACGCGUGCCUGUAGUCCCAGCUACUCGGGAGGCUGAGGCCGGAGGAUCGCUUGAGUCCAGGAGUUCUGGGCUGUUGUGCGCUAUGCCGAUCGGGUGUCCGCACUAAGUUCGGCAUCAAUAUGGUGACCUCCCCGGAGCGGGGGACCACCAGGUUGCCUAAGGAGGGGUGAACCGGCCCAGGUCGGACACGGAGCAGGUCAAAACUCCCGUGCUGAUCAGAAAUGCGAUUACACCAAGAUCCACAUUCAUGGCCACGGCAGCUGCCCAGAUGGCAGGGCACAGAACAGCACCUUCU
Molecule: unclassified non-coding RNA, 307 nt
Organism: Oryctolagus cuniculus (rabbit)
Lineage: Eukaryota; Metazoa; Chordata; Mammalia; Lagomorpha; Leporidae
Rfam family: Metazoan signal recognition particle RNA
About the family: The signal recognition particle (SRP) is a universally conserved ribonucleoprotein. It is involved in the co-translational targeting of proteins to membranes.
Source: Ensembl